Nematostella vectensis (starlet sea anemone) is the source of this 388-nucleotide long non-coding RNA. RefSeq lists it as uncharacterized. The record is from RefSeq and is a predicted model, not a curated record. Lineage: Eukaryota; Metazoa; Cnidaria; Anthozoa; Actiniaria; Edwardsiidae. The transcript has 2 exons.
CGUGAUAUGGCGCGGGAAGGCGCAGAUAGCAGAGGUUGCUCAAGCGACUCGAGCGACGAAACGUCGGACGACGAGCACUCAGAGAGACGGCGAAGAAUAGGGGUGCUACAACUUGGGGCUUUCAUUUAGGGAUUCCUGGUGAAUUCAUUCAGGUAUUCGGGGAUUGGGCCUAGGACGCAUACAGAGGGUAUCUGGAAUUCUCUAUGCCGUGCAAACUGUCAGUGGCUGAUCAGAUGUGUAGUUAUUUUUCAGGGCGUUAGUGCCUACAUUCCUAGCCUUAGUUUGGCUGUAGUUUGGAGCGCUGAGAAGUCUAUUGGUUGUAUUCAGUACAGCUUUCACCAUUUUUAGUGUAUUAUCUUUCAAUAAACCUCUCAUUGUGCCAAACUCA